RNAcentral lists this ribosomal RNA (301 nucleotides) under uncultured bacterium. Its description in RNAcentral is "partial 16S ribosomal RNA". It matches the Rfam family "Bacterial small subunit ribosomal RNA", at positions 509 to 809 of the family's 1533-position model. The record is from RNAcentral.
CAGUAGCCGCGGUAAGACAGAGGAUGCAAGCGUUAUCCGGAAUGAUUGGGCGUAAAGCGUCUGUAGGUGGCUUUUCAAGUCCGCCGUCAAAUCCCAGGGCUCAACCCUGGACAGGCGGUGGAAACUACCAAGCUGGAGUAUGGUAGGGGCAGAGGGAAUUUCCGGUGGAGCGGUGAAAUGCGUUGAGAUCGGAAAGAACACCAACAGCGAAAUCACUCUGCUAGGCCGACACUGACACUAAGAGACGAAAUCUAGGGGAGCAAAUGGGAUUAGAUACCCGCGUAGUCCCUGUCUCUUAUAA